UGUGAUACGGGGGGCAGCAGUGGGGAAUAUUGGACAAUGGGGGGAACCCUGAUCCAGCGACGCCGCGUGAGUGAAGAAGUAUUUCGGUAUGUAAAGCUCUAUCAGCAGGGAAGAAGAUGACGGUACCUGACUAAGAAGCCCCGGCUAACUACGUGCCAGCAGCCGCGGUAAUACGUAGGGGGCAAGCGUUAUCCGGAUUUACUGGGUGUAAAGGGAGCGUAGACGGCGAUGCAAGUCUGAAGUGAAAGCCCGGGGCUCAACCGCGGGACUGCUUUGGAAACUGUUAAGCUGGAGUGCAGGAGAGG
Molecule: ribosomal RNA, 305 nt
Filed under: uncultured bacterium
Lineage: Bacteria
Description: bacterial SSU rRNA
Rfam family: Bacterial small subunit ribosomal RNA
Source: RNAcentral